UACGGAGGGUGCGAGCGUUAAUCGGAAUUACUGGGCGUAAAGGGUGCGUAGGCGGUCUUUUAAGUCAGUGCUGAAAUAUCCCGGCUUAACCGGGAGGGUGGCAUUGAUACUGAAGGACUUGAGUAAAGUUGAGGUGGGCGGAAUUGACGGUGUAGCGGUGAAAUGCUUAGAUAUCGUCAAGAACACCGAUAGUGUAGACAGCUCACUAAGCUUUAACUGACGCUGAGGCACGAAAGUGUGGGGAUCAAACAGG
This 253-nucleotide ribosomal RNA is filed under the name uncultured bacterium. Its description in RNAcentral is "partial 16S ribosomal RNA". It matches the Rfam family "Bacterial small subunit ribosomal RNA", at positions 524 to 776 of the family's 1533-position model. The record is from RNAcentral.